RNAcentral lists this long non-coding RNA (441 nucleotides) under Hordeum vulgare. Its description in RNAcentral is "long non-coding RNA (HVUL_LNC011206)". The record is from RNAcentral. Lineage: Eukaryota; Viridiplantae; Streptophyta; Magnoliopsida; Poales; Poaceae.
CCCUUACUGCGCGAGCUAGGGCCGGAUUAGCAAUCAUAUCAACCAAUACUGUACGUACAAGAUCAUGCAUCGUUGAGCCGCUUGGUGGGCGAGACGGCCUCGAUGGCCUCCCCGAGCGGCCACGCGGCCUCGAUGAAGUACUCCCCGUGCUUCACCUUCUGCGCCACGGUGAUCUCCUUGGUCGGCUCCAAGCCGAACCCGUCCACGAGCAGGGAGUACUGGUAGACGAGGUCCAUGCAGAUGUAGGGCGCGUCCACGGACCGCACCUUGGGGUACGCGGCCUUGGCCUCCAGGAAGCUCAUCGGGCAGAUCUCCUCGGCGGCGGCCCUGAACGCCGCCGGCGUGGUCUUCCCGCUGCUCGCCUCGCUGUCGAUCAGGCCGACGUCUGCUGCCAUGUAGUAGAAGCUGGAGGUGACGUAGAGCUCGGCCUGGCCGGGGCCG